AUUAAACGCUGGCGGCAUGCCUUACACAUGCAAGUCGAACGGCAGCACGGGGGCAACCCUGGUGGCGAGUGGCGAACGGGUGAGUAAAGCAUCGGAACGUGCCCUGGAGUGGGGGAUAACGUAGCGAAAGUUACGCUAAUACCGCAUAUUCUGUGAGCAGGAAAGCAGGGGAUCGCAAGACCUUGCGCUCUGGGAGCGGCCGAUGUCGGAUUAGCUAGUUGGUGGGGUAAAGGCCUACCAAGGCGACGAUCCGUAGCGGGUCUGAGAGGAUGAUCCGCCACACUGGAACUGAGACACGGUCCAGACUCCUACGGGAGGCAGCAGUGGGGAAUUUUGGACAAUGGGCGCAAGCCUGAUCCAGCCAUGCCGCGUGAGUGAAGAAGG
Molecule: ribosomal RNA, 384 nt
Filed under: uncultured bacterium
Lineage: Bacteria
Description: bacterial SSU rRNA
Rfam family: Bacterial small subunit ribosomal RNA
Source: RNAcentral